RNAcentral lists this ribosomal RNA (512 nucleotides) under uncultured Glomus. RNAcentral describes it as "SSU rRNA". It matches the Rfam family "Eukaryotic small subunit ribosomal RNA", at positions 569 to 1077 of the family's 1831-position model. Lineage: Eukaryota; Fungi; Glomeromycota; Glomeromycetes; Glomerales; Glomeraceae. The record is from RNAcentral.
AGCAGCCGCGGUAAUUCCAGCUCCAAUAGCGUAAUAUUAAAGUUGUUGACAGUUAAAAAGCUCGUAGUUGAAUUUCGGGGUCAGUAGGUUGGUCAUGCCACUGGUAUGUACUGGUCUCACUGAUUCCUCCUUCCUGAUGAACUGUAAAUGCCAUUAAUUUGGUGUUGCAGGGAAUCUGGAACUGUUACUUUGAAAAAUUAGAGUGUUUAAAGCAGGCUAACGCCUGAAUACAUUAGCAUGGAAUAAUGAAAUAGGACGUUCGAUCCUAUUUUGUUGGUUUCUAGGAUUGACGUAAUGAUUAAUAGGGAUAGUUGGGGGCAUUAGUAUUCAAUUGUCAGAGGUGAAAUUCUUGGAUUUAUUGAAGACUAACUACUGCGAAAGCAUUUGCCUAAGGAUGUUUUCAUUAAUCAAGAACGAAAGUUAGGGGAUCGAAGACGAUCAGAUACCGUACGUAGUACUUAACCAUAAACUAUGCCGACUAGGGAUCGGAUGAUGUUAAUUUUUAAUGACUU